UAGGCGCACGGGUGAGUAACACGUAGGUAAUGUGCCUUUUGGGUGGGGAAUAACUUAGGGAAACUUAAGCUAAUACCGCAUAAUGCGAUAACUUCUUCGGAAGAUUUUGUUAAAGAUUUAUCGCCUGAAGAGCAGCCUGCGGCAGAUUAGCUAGUUGGUAAGGUAACGGCUUACCAAGGCUACGAUCUGUAUCCGACCUGAGAGGGUGGUCGGACACACUGACACUGAAUAACGGGUCAG
RNAcentral lists this ribosomal RNA (240 nucleotides) under uncultured bacterium. Its description in RNAcentral is "partial 16S ribosomal RNA". It matches the Rfam family "Bacterial small subunit ribosomal RNA", at positions 95 to 334 of the family's 1533-position model. The record is from RNAcentral.